UGCCAGCAGCCGCGGUAAUACGGAGGGUGCAAGCGUUACUCGGAAUCACUGGGCGUAAAGAGUGCGUAGGCGGGAAAGUAAGUCAGAUGUGAAAUCCUGUAGCUUAACUACAGAACUGCAUUUGAAACUACUUUUCUAGAGUGUGGGAGAGGUAGGUGGAAUUCUUGGUGUAGGGGUAAAAUCCGUAGAGAUCAAGAGGAAUACUCAUUGCGAAGGCGACCUGCUGGAACAUUACUGACGCUGAUGCACGAAAGCGUGGGGAGCAAACAGGAUUAGAUA
RNAcentral lists this ribosomal RNA (279 nucleotides) under uncultured bacterium. Its description in RNAcentral is "partial 16S ribosomal RNA". It matches the Rfam family "Bacterial small subunit ribosomal RNA", at positions 506 to 784 of the family's 1533-position model. The record is from RNAcentral.